CGAAUUUCUUGGGCUCAGAACCAGUUGUGAUGCGGAGCUUAGAUCAACUGAAUUCCUGACUUCAUGGCUUAAUGGGGAUGUGAGAGGACAGCGGACAUUGCAGAAAAAGUGGACGUCAUUUCUAAAGACUCACCUGAACUGUCCUGUCCCUCAAACCAGACUACCACUUCUCAUACAGGAUGUGUUCCUCUUCUGUCCAGACACCUGGAAAACCUGUAUAUUCUAUGGUGUCUUCACUCCUCAGGGUCCAAAAGCCUCGUAGUCUGUUGGAUAGGAUCUCUAAAUUUCCAAGGGAUAGGCUCCAGGUUCCUCACAACCCUCUGUAGGGUA
Molecule: long non-coding RNA, 330 nt
Organism: Tachysurus vachellii
Lineage: Eukaryota; Metazoa; Chordata; Actinopteri; Siluriformes; Bagridae
Exons: 3
Source: RefSeq, a predicted model, not a curated record